This 1500-nucleotide long non-coding RNA is filed under the name Callithrix jacchus (white-tufted-ear marmoset). RNAcentral describes it as "lncRNA (ENSCJAG00000083865.1)". Lineage: Eukaryota; Metazoa; Chordata; Mammalia; Primates; Cebidae. The record is from RNAcentral.
AUGGACAGAAAAGUUUUCUUAAUUUGCAGAUUAUGUAUAAUUUCAAGAUAUGUGUAUGGGUUCAAGUUGACAAAGGGUGGACUUAUGAUGGUUAAUAUUGAGUGUCAACUUGAUUGGAAUGAAGGAUGCAAAGUAUUUUUUCCGGGCAUGUCUGUGAGGAUGUUGCCAAAGGAGGUUAACAUCUGAGUCAGUGGACUGGGAGAGGCACACCACCCUCAAUCUGGGUAGGCACCAUAUAAUUAGCUGCCAGCAUGGCUAGGAUAAAGGCAGGCAGAGGACCAUGAAAGGACUGGACUGGCUAAGUCUUCUGGCUGUCAUCUUUCUCUCGUGCUAGAUAUUUCCUGCCCUUGAACAUCAGACUCCAAGUUCUUCAGCUCUUGGACUCUUGGACUUACACCAGCAAUUUUCCAGGGUCUCUUGGGCCUUUGACCACACACUGAAGGCUGCACUAUCAGCUGCUCUACUUUUGAGGUUUUGGAACUCAAACUGGCUUCCUGGCUCCUCAGCUUGUAGAUAGCCUAUUGUGGGACUUUACCUCGUGGUCAUAUGAGUCAAUUUUCUUAAUAAACUGUCCUUCAUAUAUUUAUCUAUCCUAUUAGUUCUGUCCCUUUAGGAAACCUUGACUAAUAUAUUCCCCUAUAAGUGAAGGGAAAAAUCAGAGGUAAUAGACUGAAUGAAAUGCAACAAGGUACAUAAAGUAUUUCUACUUGCACAAUCUCUUUGCCAACACUUGGUACUGCCAUUCUUUUUAGCAUUAGGCAUUCUAAAAGGUGUACAGGGUUUCCCAUUAUAAUUUUUAUUUUUUAACAUUUUGCAAGUAAAUAACCCUUAUAAACAUUGAUGCAAAAAUCCUCAAAUAAAUGCCUAGAAAAAUCACACUCACUACACAUCCAGAGGUUUAUCCACCAGAAUCAAGUGAGAACUAUCCAUGAAAGGCAAAGAGAAUUCAACAUAUGAAUCAACAUUUGUUGAUUACAAAGAGUGUAACACAAAUAAUGUAAAAUAACAUAUUACAACAAUCAGUGUGAUACAUCACACUUGUAAAAUGAUGGAAAAAUCAUAAUCAUAUCAUUUGAUGCAGAAAAAGCAUUAAACAAAAUUCAAGAUGGAUUCAUGACAAAAACCCACAACAAACCAGGAAUAGAAGGAAACCAUCUGAACAUAAUAACGACCAUAUAUUAAUAAUCAACAGGACCAUCAUACUCAAUGGUGAAAUUUGAAAAUCUUGAAAUAGCUUGACAUAGCAUUGAAAGUUCCAGAGCAACCAGUCAAGGAAAAUAAAUAAAAGGCAUCUGCAAAGACAAGAAAGAAAAAAAACUAUAGACAGACAACAGAAUCUCAUGUGUAGAGAAUUCCAAAGAUUACACAUAUACACACUGAACUAAUACAUGAAUUUAGCAAAGUUUCAGGACACAAAAUCAACAUGAAAAAAUUACUUGUACUUCAACACACCAACAAUAAAUACUCUGGAAAAGAGGUGAAACCAAUAGCAUUAACAAC